This 293-nucleotide long non-coding RNA is filed under the name Bos taurus (domestic cattle). RNAcentral's name for it is "long non-coding RNA NONBTAT025078". The record is from RNAcentral. Lineage: Eukaryota; Metazoa; Chordata; Mammalia; Artiodactyla; Bovidae.
AUGACCACCCCUUCUGCCUUCAUGGGUAAGAAAAAGAUCACUGUUAAUAAGGACUUUAAGGUACCCAAAGCCUGUUUGUUCACCACCAACAAGGAAAACCACACACUAGGAAACAUCAGUCAUUCUCAGCUACUGAAGGCCCCACAGGUGCAGUUUGCUGGCUACAAAGUCCGUCGCCCCUUGCAGCACAAGACCAUCAUCCAUGUGCAGAGUGCCCUGGACUGCACCCCCAGGAGGCUCCCACCUGUGCCAUCACAGACCUCACCAAGGAACUCUCCCUGCUGGAGGAGCGA